GACGAACGCUGGCGGCGUGCUUAACACAUGCAAGUCGAACGAUGAAGCAGAGAAAUGCGACCUUCGGUUCAAAUUUCACUUCGGAUUAGUGGCAGACGGGUGAGUAACGCGUGAGCAACCUACCUCUUACAAAGGGAUAGCCUCGGGAAACCGUGAUUAAUACCAUAUGACACAUUCAUAAGGCAUCUUAAGAAUGUUAAAGCUACGGCGGUAAGAGAUGGGCUCGCGUCCCAUUAGCUAGUUGGUGAGGUAACGGCCCACCAAGGCGACGAUGGGUAACCGGCCUGAGAGGGUGAACGGUCACAUUGGAACUGAGACACGGUCCAAACUCCUACGGGAGGCAGCAGUGGGGAAUAUUGCACAAUGGAGGGAACUCUGAUGCAGCGACGCCGCGUGAGCGAUGAAGGAAUUCGUUUCGUAAAGCUCUGUUCUAUGGGAAGAAAAGGACUGUACCAUAGGAGAAAGCCCCGGCUAAAUACGUG
RNAcentral lists this ribosomal RNA (482 nucleotides) under uncultured bacterium. Its description in RNAcentral is "partial 16S ribosomal RNA". It matches the Rfam family "Bacterial small subunit ribosomal RNA", at positions 28 to 507 of the family's 1533-position model. The record is from RNAcentral.